CGUGGAGACAGGUGGUGCAUGGCUGUCGUCAGCUCGUGUCGUGAGAUGUUGGGUUAAGUCCCGCAACGAGCGCAACCCUCACCUCUUGUUGCCAUCAGGUCAUGCUGGGCACUCUAGAGGAACUGCCCCGGUCAACGGGGAGGAAGGCGGGGAUGACGUCAAGUCAUCAUGCCCCUUACGUCCUGGGCUACACACGUGCUACAAUGGCCGGUACAAAGGGAUGCCACACCGCGAGGUAGAGCUAAACCCAAAAAGCCGGUCUAAGUUCAGAUUGGAGUCUGCAACUCGACUCCAUGAAGGAGGGAUCGCUAGUAAUCGCGUAUCAGCACGACGCGGUGAAUACGUUCCCGGGCCUUGUACACACCGCCCGUCACACCACGAAAGCCUGCUGUACUCGAAGUCGCUGAG
RNAcentral lists this ribosomal RNA (408 nucleotides) under uncultured Methylomirabilota bacterium. Its description in RNAcentral is "bacterial SSU rRNA". It matches the Rfam family "Bacterial small subunit ribosomal RNA", at positions 1027 to 1434 of the family's 1533-position model. The record is from RNAcentral. Lineage: Bacteria; Methylomirabilota (SeqCode).